This 87-nucleotide transfer RNA is filed under the name Anaerotruncus colihominis. Its description in RNAcentral is "tRNA-Leu". It matches the Rfam family "tRNA". From Rfam's summary of the family: Transfer RNA (tRNA) molecules are approximately 80 nucleotides in length. Lineage: Bacteria; Bacillati; Bacillota; Clostridia; Eubacteriales; Oscillospiraceae. RNAcentral also lists the same sequence under 1 other name. The record is from RNAcentral.
GCCGCUGUGGCGGAACAGGCAGACGCAAGGGACUUAAAAUCCCUCGGUGGCGACACCGUACCGGUUCGAUCCCGGUCAGCGGCACCA